Pistacia vera is the source of this 1147-nucleotide long non-coding RNA. RefSeq lists it as uncharacterized. The transcript is spliced from 3 exons. Lineage: Eukaryota; Viridiplantae; Streptophyta; Magnoliopsida; Sapindales; Anacardiaceae. The record is from RefSeq and is a predicted model, not a curated record.
AUAAACGGGUGACCCAUGGGUUGACCUGUACCGGUACGGGUCUUGCAUUCUUAGCCCAUAGACCCAUGCCCGUUUUACCUGCUACCCGUAACUACCCGGCCCGCCCGUUUGCCAGGUCCAGAAACAGCUCUGCACUGCUUUUUACAGCACCCACCUUAAUAAAAACCCUAAUUUCCAAUCUUCUUUACCGAAGUUAUCAAUCCUAUUCAAAUUUAAUCCCAAAAGUUAAAUCUUUUCAUUCAUUUUCAAGUGAUGGAGAAUCUGAUUACUGAAGUUCAAGUGGAAGUGGCGGGCGGGUAUUCGGAUCCUGGAGCCGGAUCCUUUUCUGGGUUCCAAAGAAUGAUCGAGUUUCACCCGGCUGGAAAAGUCUUUAGUGGGCUUAGUAAUGGUGGUGAGAAUGGGGAUUUUAAAUUGGAGACGCUGAAUCCAAGUGGGUCGGAGCAGAAGAAAGCUGGUAAACGUUAGGGACAGGGUCCGAGUGGUGGGUCAGGGAAGAAAGUUGAUGGGUCGGAGUUUUGGGAUUGUGGGUUGGAUCCUGAGCUGAGUUUUGGGAUGACUUUUCGGAGAAUUGGUGCUGGUCUUGAAAAUCUUGGAAAUACUUGUUUUCUCAAUUCCAUGUUGCAGUGUCUGACAUAUGCAGAGCCUUUAGCGGUAUACUUGCAGAGUGGCAAGCAUCAAAAUUCUUAAGCCUGCUUUCUCAAAACAAGCUGAUGAAGAUGAGCAAAGUGGAUCGACAUUUAAUUUAAUGAUGGAACUAUAAACUAUUUCAGAAGUUGGCUAGAUUAUUACAGGCUUUUGCAAUAACAAACCCGGUGAUCUUGAGAUAGUUUCAAAGUCCAGGAAAUUUGGCAGAAAUUUCACCGGUGAUUCUAGCUGAAGCUUUUGAAAGCAUUACAAGCCGAGAGUCUGCAUGAAGUCUGGAUAAAAAAUAAGACCAGAUGUAUGAUAAUAAAUGCAGGAGAUACUAAUUUUUUUUAAUUAUUAUUUUUAAUCAAAUGAACUAUGAAUGAUGUGGUAUAUUUCCAGUCGAAAAAAUAAGACUUUGUCAUAUAGGUGUAGACUGCCAUACAACUUGAAACACUCAUUGAAUCCACAGGAUAUGAAUCAAAAGGAUUUACUUGUGUGAGAUUAAUUAAUUGAAUCCUAA